GGAGAAAAGGGAACACUUAUAAACUGUUGAUGGGAAUGUAAAUUAGUUCAGCCACUGUGGAAAACAGUUUGGAGAUUACUCAGAGAACUCAAAAGGCACCUAACAUUCAACCCAGCAAUCUCAUUACUGAGUAUAUAUCCAAAAGAAAAGAUGCUGCUAUCACAGAUUAUAACAGACUGGCUAAAUUAUAGAAAUAGAAAUGUAUUUGGCUUAUGGUUCUGGAGGCUAGGAAGUGCAAGAGCAUGGCAUUGGCAUCUGGUGAGGGCCUUUAUGCUGCAACAUCUUGUCACAGAAGUUGGAAUGGCAAGACAGGGCAAUGCAACAACACUUGUGAAAGCAAGACUAAUUUUAUUCAGGACUAUCGCAAUAGGGGAAAAGAGACCUCAGUAUUGAACUGGGCUUCAUUGUGAAUACAAGUGGGACAAGUGGGAAUUAUAGCCAAGGAACAUGGUGGUUUGCAGAUGAAAAAUUACUAAAAGGAGAUAUUGUCUUAGGCAAUUCUGGUUGAAAUGGCCUAACAGGAUUCCUGCUGAAUGCAGGCCAGGUUGAUGAGCUAUCAAGAGUAGGGAGUGAGAAAUUGUGAUUGGUUAUUGAGGGUAAUUAGGUAUCAAGGAUGGGGGAUUCUUACUAAAGAGAUUUAGUAGAAGUCUUGUUAAAACUACAUUUUACAAGGAAGUACACAGAUGGGCCUAGGAGAAGGUUCAGUAGCCUGACUUAAAGUUUGGUCAAACAAAGAAUCUUUGCAUGGAUAUAAAAAAAAAAUUACAGUAAGUGAAACAGAUAAAAAUGUCUGCAUUGACAUAGCAUAAAUUCUGAUGGGGGAGAAAUUAUAGUGUACAUGCCCAUCCCCAGUCCUCUGCUUUGGCAUAAAACUCAGUGGAAUUACGAAGGUUGUAAACAAGGAAGCCUUAGGAUCAAAUACUAUACCUUCAGAUAUAGUAUCUUUGAUAUGGUCAUUGACAAAUCCUGUUCUUGUGGUAGAUGAGGCAGUUUUUCCAAGUUGCACUGUGGGAAGCAGAUGUAGUUGAAUGGGAGCCUAAGCCAGAGAGAAGGAACAUUAUAGGCACAACAUAGUGACUCUGCCUAACUUAGUAGUUUGUGGGCACAUUUUAAAAAAUAAAAGCUUUGAGGUAAAAGAUGAGGAUCUGUUCCUAUCACAUGGAAGACUAUGGAAACAAUAGACAUUUGGGAUAUAUUUUCUGCCUUGAUUGAUAGCAUCACCAUCUACUUUGUCCCUCAAGCAGAAAAAUAUUAAUUUCUUGUUUGUCUCUUCUCUCCCUCUAACCCUCUAUAUCCAAUAUGACUACCUGAGAUCUCCAUCUCCUCCAUUUCUCUUCUAUCUAUCUUUUAUUUCAUCUAUACAUCCAGUAUAGAUUAUGAUGAUUAAUGAGAUUAUUAUGAUCUCUUGCCUUGACUCCUCAGUAGCUAUUUGGUAGUUUCAUUUGUUAUCCAGAAAUCUCAGUACCACCUUUGAUUCAUGAUUUAUACUGUUUUCUGACUUAUCUUUUAAAAAUAAAAAUCUGAUUAUGUCACACUUCUGCUUAGCAUUGUUCCAGAUUUAAACUGUAUAGAUUUGCUUACAAAAUACAUCAGCAUGUAACUCUGUUAUACAUUUCAACACUUUAUUCUGAGCCCUCCCCAUGGCAUGCUCUUUUCUACUUGUGGCUGGCUUUCAUAUUUCCUAAACACCCUCUUUGUCUACAUAGGCUUUUUUUUUUUUUUUUUUUUUAACCAUUUGAAGUUUCUACCCCAUUGUUCUAUCCAACUGCAACUCAUGAUUCAACAUUUUCCUUCACAUAACUUCUCCUCUGAUACCUUCUUUAAAAUCUUUACAUCUCAAAGUCAAAGAAGGGACUCUUUCUCCUUCCACCAUGACAGUUUUCUUACAUAUCUGUAUUAUAGCAUUGAUCACACUGACUUGCAGUUAUUUCUUGCUAAGCCUAUCUCCACUACUAUUCCUGCUAUUAAGUAAUAUGAAAAGGCUUAGGGAAUGCUUCAAAAUGUUGAUAUCUUCCUCUUAUUCUCUCAGGAAGAAAUGUUUCUCCUUGUGCUUUUCUCAUUUUCUGCCCAUGCAUUCUCAAUCUUGAGUGUUUGGAAGUCCCAGCUUCUCUUGGAAGCAAAACAAGAUCAAACCCAGCAGGAAUUUCCUGGUUGGUGAACACAUUGAUGUAUUCAGAGGGCGGCAUACCCAGAGAGCACAUGGAAAUUCAGUUCCCCCAGCAUCUUCCAUAACUUGUCCUGUGUAUCUCUCCCAUCUGGCUGUUCCUGAGUUUUAUCUUUACAAUACACCAAUAAGGAAAGUUUCUCCACUUAAAGUUGACAGCAAAUUGAGAAGGCUAUGAAAGCAAGUCUGCUUUGGUCAAGAUGGUCACUCUGGGUUUCUUGUGUCAUGAAGACAACUUCUGCUUCCAGUCAAGAUGGAGUAACAGAAACCUGAUUUACCCCUGUCUUAGUCUGUUUGUGCUACUACAACAAAAUAUCUGAGACUGGGUAAUUUACAAAGAGCAGGAAUUUAUUUCUUAUGGUUUGGAAGGCUUGGAAGUCCAAGAUCAAGUCACUGACAUCUGGUGUCUGAUGAGGGCCUUCUUGCUGCAUCCUCGCAUGGCAGAAGUGCAGAAGAGCAAUUGAACAACCUUGCCGAAUACUACAUGAAGGCUCUUUAAAAAGGGCCCAGUUCCAUUAACAAGAGAGCAGCUCUCAUAGUCUAAUCACCUCAUAAAGACUCUGCCUCUAUCAUAUUGGCAAAACUUGGACUACGGAGGGGACACACUCAAAACAUAACACCCUCCCACAUUAAACAAAAAACUGAACCAAAUAUAGGAAAAAAUGACAUUCAAGACAAUGACGCUGGGCAACUAAGGGCUGCGAUCCCUGAGAGACGAGAAACAAAUGAGAAUUUUUUGUUUGUUUUUUGUGGGAACAUUGAUCUGAAAAACUUAGCUCACCAUUACAGAGAAAUACAAAUCUAGCCACAACCACCCCAACUUUUUGAGAAGAAAAUGGAACCUACGUAAACCCACAAGAGCCUAAGAAAAAUAUUAAAAGGUGAAAAAAGAACUUCACUCUCCUGGAGGCCACAUGGCGGGCCAUUCAGAAUAUAUAGUAUGGCACUGUGGAGAGCAGAGGACACAAAACCAACAGUGUCACAAAGGUGGGCCCAGGAGGGUAUGUAUGAAAUGAUGACAAAGAAAGUGAGAGGCUCCUGUGAAUUUCUGAGUGCAAGAGAAUUUUAAGUAACGAAAAUUUUAUGUAAGAGCUACUAUGUACUAGCAUUCCAUUAAAUGUUUGGGACAAUCAAGAUUAAAUCUUUUUUAAAAAAAGAGGGAUCACAUCCAGCUGCACCCCUGCCCCCAAAUUCCCAGGUGGCUGAGGCCUUAUGCAAUGCCCCACCAUGUGCCUUUGGGUCAUGCAGGCCCAGAACUGAUUUGCUUGGAAAAAUGUCAUCACUAUCUUGUCUUCCUCAUUCAAUUCUUCUGACCUUGUGCUAAGGAUGGCAACAGAAAUCCCAACCGUGCCCACAUCUAUACCUUUGUUUUGGGAGAUUUGUGUUAAUUCAGUUAUCACUGUACUAUGAACUCUGUCUCAGAGAUCACUAGUCUUUAAAGAUUCCUUGUACAAAGGACAUUAUUUAUUGUUGUGCUUGAGAUCUCUGUAAAUUUGGUUGUCAGCUAUAUAGUGUUUUGAGGUUCUUUAACAUAGGAGAAAUGUAUAAUGCUCUAAUUUAUCAUCACCCUUACUGAUAGCUAAGUAGAUGCUAUGUUGUCAUGUUGAUAUAUUCAAAACAUUCAGAGUCAUGCAGACCUUUACACUACUCUUCAAAAUAGCUAUCAGAGCUUCUUGUAUUUGCCAGUGCUUUCACAGUGAUACAUAGAUAGCAGUGGAUAUUGAGGUUCAAAGAAGGACAGUUAAAGUGCCCUGAGACAUACUUUAUGUUUUUAUUAACACCUUAACUCACCCGUCUCACAUUUAUUUCAGGUCCCAUACUAUAUUAUUGUGAAUGUUAUUUCUAUGGCUCAAUAUAUUAUAUUCACGCACAGACACACACACAGAGGGUUGGUGCAUAUAUUUCCAUUGUCCUCCUGAAGAGCCUCAGUUUAAUGCAUAUUAUUUCACACUUAAAACAUUUAACUUCACUAAAUUGAAAACAGAAGAAGCAGGGGAGGGAACAGAAGGUGACAAAUGAAGAGGAGGAGGGAGAGUGGGAAGGCAAUGUGUAGCAGGAGGAGGCGAGGCAUAUGGGAAAGCAGGGAUAUGUCAAGUUCAUGGAAAAUAGCAAGCCAAUGUCUGAUUGACGACAUGCCUUUGUUGUGUUUCUCAUGGUGCUUCAACUUGAGGGAUGCUGUUAAGUGAGAAAGGCAACUGUCUCUCAGUAGCAAAGAGACCUAUAUCUACGUACAGUAGCCAUUGAAAUAAAAUUACUGACUUGUAAGUUCCUCCAGAAGACUGGAGUACCAUGCUGACUUUUUUUAAUGUUAUCCUUUCUAUUCACAUUUGGGAGAAAAUUCUGUCUUUUCUGUCCCAGGUUCUCUGAAGGUCAGAUUCAUUCACCUGUAGUUUCUAGAAGCUUCUUGAUUGUAAUCACUGUGGGCAUUGAUGAACAGCCAAAACAGCACCUUGCAAGGAUGAGGACAGAACUUUCAGGAGGCUAAAGUUAAGGAAUGAUCAACCCUAGCAGGAUCUUCACCUGGAACUGCUAGUUCCUCCGCAAUCGCCACUCUGCUGCUCCAUCUGUACCACUCUUCACUUACACAGGGCUUCUUAUGGCUCUAACAGGCUAAUUGACCCAAGUUUUAUCUGGUAUAGUAUGCACUAUUAUCCAAAUUCACCUAACCCAGGUAUGAAUAGGACUCUUUAAGUGACAAAAACACAACUUGAAAUGACUUGACUUAAAAAUGAAAUUCACCACUUAGAUGACCGAAAUAUCCGGGGGUAACUUGGCUUCAGGCAUGCAUAACUACACAGAGGUGCUCAAAUGGGGCAUCAAGACAAAAUGUUAGCUGGGUGGGAGGAAUAAGUUCAAUUGAUCUAUUGUACAGCAUGGUAACUACAGUUAAUAAUACUGUAUUACAUACUUCUAAAUCACCAAGAGAGUAGAUCUUAAGUGUUCUCACUACAAAAUAUGAUUAAGUAUGUGAAGUAACACAUAUUUCAAUUAGCUCGAUUUAGCCAUAAGAUAAUGUAUACAUAUUUUAAAACAUGUUAUGCAUCAUAAAUAUAUAACAUUUUCAUUUGUCAGUUUAAAAAAUAAAUGGAAAUGGGUCAUUAGAGGAUCAGUGUUGUCAUCUUUCCUCUGGAGUGAGCUUAUUAUCAAAUAGAAUUUUACAGAGACGAGGAUGGCCACUGCCACUUUAGUCUUGCAUUGAACAAGUUUAUCAACCACAGCUCAAGGACAGCAGUCCUUUCUUGAUAGUACAGAAAAAUUCCACUUGUAUAUAAACUCUUCCAAAAAAGAAUCUUUUUUUGUUUGUUUGUUUUGCUUCCAAAUAUAUUUGCAGCUGCUAGAACAGUCCCUAUUUGUGGUUGGUGUUCAAUAAAUUGAGUCUCAUUUACUUAGCUUGAGCUUGAACCAACUGCUGUGAACAGGAGGAUGGAAUGCUCCAAAUAGCUAGACUAGACCAUGUUUCUACUUACAGAGUUAAGAAGCAAAGGGGUUCGACACACCUGAACCACAUGAACUGAGAGUGGAGGGGAGAAAGAAAAGAGAGAAAUGGAAAGGAAGGAAAUAAGAAAGGAAGGAAGAAAAGAAAGAAAAAGAAAGAAAAUCCAAUAAAGAAACCUGUGCUAAUAUGCUAAUAGAUUUUUCCUUCCUUAUUUUGCCAGUGGUUUUCUGGGUAUGUAUAACAUGAACAGAUAAUACAUCUUAGUGUCAGGGUUGGAAUUUGAGUUGACUCUCUUACAAGCUAAUAAGUUAUCCUGUUAGUAUUUCAUGGACGCUGGCAGAAGACAUGAGACUCCUUUGUCAGAGACAAAGGACUUUAAUACUCAUGACACAGCAAGCAGCAUGACUAUCAGUAUGUUUGCAUCAGUUCUCCUUGCUUCAAGUUCCAUGUGCUAGGGGACAGAUGGAUGCCUCACAUGCAGUGGGUUCGCAUCGCAUCUGAGGAACAAUAACUUGGGCAAUUCAAUACUUUUAUAGCAAGUAGUAAGCAAGCCUGCCUUUUGUCUGGAGAGAGGUGUUACCUCAUUUCUCAAGGUUGCUCAGUGAAACACAGCCCUGAUAAAAGGCAGAGUGCAAGGAGCAGUCAUGGGCUUUCAUUCCUGGCACACCCAGCAGGAUGUAUAGAAGCAUGAGAGAUAUGUGAAAGACUGACUCUCAACACUUAGCUUGAAAAUAUUAUUUUAAUUCCAUUUCAUCCAGGUAAGCAGGUGAAAAGAAAAUUUUGGAGUUUGCAGGACUUUGUAACAUUUCUGAAGCCAUGUCACAUAAGCAAUUGCCUUCUUGUACCAGGUGCAUGUAUUAAAAUUUCAGAAAAAGUGUGCAUGGGACUGGGGACAGUGGGGUUUAUGGGAAAAAGGAGACAAUAUCUUUACCUUUUAUGAUUGCAGAAAAUAAUUUCUUUGGUAUGAAGAAUAUGAUAAAUGGGAUUAUUGAGCUUUCAGGGAGAAUACUUAGCUAUGCUUUCUUUUAAUACAUUUGAUUUCCAAUUACUGAGAAAUUGCUCAACAUGCCCUGUGAAGAGUCUUUAUGAAAAUGAAGGGGCCAAAAGGUCUUCGGUGGGCCUUGUUCUAAAUGUGGCCUCUCUGGUUGUUUGGUAGCUUAUCAAAAGCCACAUGAAUCCUCAGAAAUAGUGCUUGACUGUCAAAAGACAGCCCCCUUGUUUUAGCAUUGCAGAUUGAGCCACGCUUAUUAUUUUUCUUGACUUCUGGUGCACAGGCGGCAUGAUUACCAAGUGAUCUUGUGUAAACAAAAGGCUGUUCUGUGCGAAUAAAUGGAUUCCCACUGUUGCACAAGCCCCUAGGAGUCUGCAUUAAAAACAAGUUGAGAUGCAGAACAGAACAUAGCAUUUAUUUUAACAGCAGGCACUUAUCAUUGGUGACAUUACCUGAUACGGCUGAUAAUCUAAAGCAUUAUAACUUUUGAGCAAAAUUUGGUUCAUAAAGACAUACAAGGAGAUAAACCAUGGCUACUAAUAGAAAUUGCAAACAAUCAUUUGAAUAGAACAAUCUUAUCUACAUUCAUCAUCCAGCCAACUCUCUCCUCCCACUGAAAUGAGACAAGGUAAAUUCACAACUCCCAUUAAUGCAAAUAGCAGCUUCAGAAGUAAAUCCCUUGUUUCUCCACAGGAGAGGACGGCUGCCCCCUCUUGUUUCAAUAUAUCACAAACCUGUGUCAGUCUGAGUUAAUUGGUGGGAAUUUGGAAUACAAGCAAUUUGAAACUAAUCCUUUAAAAUGGUGGCCAGUACGGUGGUUGGUGACAGCAGCUACUGGCUAAAAAGCAAUACCAUUUCUCCUAGGAGUGUUAAUUCUGAUCGAUUGAUGCUAAGUCUUCACUGUUCCUGGGCCAGGCUGAUUUGUUUGUGCCCAUUCCUUCUUCUGACACUAGCCUGACAGGACACACCUGGGUGAAGCUGGAAGGAAGGUUGCGGGCCAGGCUAUCACAUGAGUUUUAUUGUUUUAUAAUAAAAUGCACCUCGACGACAUGAAAAGUAAAUGUAGCCACUCCUCUACUUUGUGAUGUUGGCCAAGUAGCUUAAGACCUUGCACCCCAAUUUCAUCAUUAUAAAAUUAUCUUUUCUAAUAUUCCGUUCACAGUGUUUUUCCUGAAAGCUAAAUGAGAUAUUGUCAUUACAACAAUAAGGAGUAGAAUUAAUAAGCAUGUAGGGGCUUCUAUUCAAUUUUAUUGAGAGACAAUUGUUAGGAAAAAGCUGAACCUCCAGGAACUUGAUGUCUUCUAACAAGUUCAAGUUGCCUGAAGAAAAUUACUCUGCAUGAUAAUGGAGAGAGGGAUUUGGAUCCAGAGGAUUGAGGGAGGGGAAAGAAGUGUUGAAUCCAGUGGCAGGAAAAUGGUAAGAGAUGGGGACCUCUAAGUUGACGGAGACUUAGGGAAAGGGAAAUGGCUGAAAGAGAUUAUCAUGUGAGGCAUCGGUGCAGGUGACAGACGCACUAAAAUCUACACUGUUCACAAGCAUUUGCAAAAGUGAGUGGUCUGGAGAACACAAAGCCUUGAUGCUGGGUAUUGCAAUUAGUCUGGUUCAAGAGGAUACAAGAUUCUAAUUGUUACAAGAUGUUUACAUUGAAAUUUUUGGCUGUAGCGCCCAGAGAGAAAAAACGUAGAGAAUUCCUAGUGAGAUGCCAGACAAAAUGCAGACGUUCAAAGGGCAUGAUUGCAUGUAGGAAGGCUCUAAGCUUGUGAGAAGGAAGUGGAAGGAGGAAGUAAAGCAAAGAAAGAGGACAAGGAUGUGGAAGAUUCCUUUUGUGGAGAGGAUCUUUUAGGACAAAGUUGUGCUGCGAGCCCUUUCCUAUCUUAUUACUUCUAAGGAGUACUAGAGAUGGUAGUGGUUCCCUCAGCUUGAGGCCUGGUGAGGAGGCGGCACCACAAAACCAGCCAGAACCUGACAUGCAUUCUUUAUGUCAUGGUUGUGACUGAUUGGGGCUGGUGUCAUGGUUGGUAAAAUAAUUUACUGAAACAGCAGUGAGUUAAAGCAAGUUUAUUAGAGAGAAAAUACAUUUCAAGGGGGCAAAUGGGCAGCAUAGCAGAGAAGGAGGCGUCUGCCAGGAGGCAGGGGUUGGAGGGAAGUUUUAUAGGGUCAUGUUGGAGGGGCUACCUGCAGAGUGAGGUAUUUGGGAACAGGAUGUUGUGCAAGCAGAUUGUUUGUGGUUAACUGUCUCUCAGAACAAUUGUUCUUCCCCACCUGGGGCCCCUCCCUCAUUGUUGCUAACUUGUCAGGACUCCACACUUUACAGGUGGGGUAUAUUUUGCACUGGUGACUGGGUAGUUAGUGUGGUCUGUAGCAGAGUAGAGAGCGAGCUUGUGUUCACCGACAGCUGGAUUUGGGAAGUAAAAACAUCCCAAUGACAUUGGGGCAAGAAAUGUGUGAACAUUGUCCAGGGCCAAGGUCUGGAAGGAGAGACCGGGCCUGGAACUGUUUCAAAGGCUGCCCAAGAGAACCCUGAGGUGAUAACAACAAGAGGCAGCUAAAUGCAUAGGCAAACAGGAGUGAGUCCCUGGUGAAACCCCACCUUUGAGGCAAAAAUAGCCUGAAGGCUGAAAGACUGGACUGCUGGUUCCAGAUGAAACCCAUGACCCAGAGUGAGAACUUCUGUUCCUGUCUGACUGCCCUUUCCUGACUGAUUCUUUCUGAAUACUGCCUUUUAACCAAUCAAAUGUUGCCUUUUCCAAUACCUGCCCCUUCCCUAUUCUGAGCCUAUAAAAGCCCUGAACUCAGCCAUAGUAGGGGGACUUUCCUGCCUUUGGGUAGGAGGACCAUACCUGAGUCCCCUCUCUGCUGAAAGCUGUUUAAUCACUCCGUAAAACUCCCUGCCUUGCUCACUCUCUGAUCGUCAGUACAUCCUCAUUCUUCUUG
Molecule: non-coding RNA, 9525 nt
Organism: Macaca mulatta (Rhesus monkey)
Lineage: Eukaryota; Metazoa; Chordata; Mammalia; Primates; Cercopithecidae
Source: RefSeq, a predicted model, not a curated record